AGUGGAUGGGGAGCAACCUAGUUGUGCGUGUGUAAAGGUAGUGCCAAGAAAAGCGAUGAUCAUGUUGAAAAUCAAUUCCCGGUACCCGAAACCGACACAGGUGGGCAAGUAGAGAAUACUAAGGGGCGCGAGGUAACUCUCUCCAAGGAACUCGGCAAAAUGACCCCGUAACUUAGGGAGAAGGGGUGCCACCGAGAGGUGGUCGCAGUGAAGAGGCCCAGGCGACUGUUUAGCAAAAACAUAGGUCUCUGCAAACUCGAAAGAGGAGGUAUAGGGGCUGACGCCUGCCCAGUGCCGGAAGGUUAAAGAAGUUGGUCAGUUUUAGGAUGAAGCUAGCGACUGAAGCCCCGGUGAACGGCGGCCGUAACUAUAACGGUCCUAAGGUAGCGAAAUUCCUUGUCGGGUAAGUUCCGACCCGCACGAAAGGCGUAACGAUCUGGGCGCUGUCUCGGAGAGAGGCUCGGCGAAAUAGGAUUGUCUGUGAAGAUACGGACUACCUGCAUUUGGACAGAAAGACCCUAUGAAGCUUUACUAUAGCUUGGAAUUGUGUUCGGGCUUCCUGUGCGCAGGAUAGGUGGGAGGCGUAGAAGGUAUUCUUGUGGGGAUACUGGAGCCAACGGUGAGAUACCACUCUCAGGAGGCUAGAAUUCUAACUUAAUUAAGGACAGUUUCAGGUGGGUAGUUUGACUGGGGCGGUCGCCUCCAAAAAGGUAACGGAGGCGUACAAAGGUUCCCUCAGACUGGUUGGAAAUCAGUCGAAGAGUGCAAAGGCAGAAGGGAGCUUGACUGCGAGAAGUACAGUUCGAGCAGGGUGGAAACACGGUCUUAGUGAUCCGACGGUGCUGUGUGGAAGGGCCGUCGCUCAACGGAUAAAAGUUACUCUAAGGAUAACAGGCUGAUCUCCCCCAAGAGUUCACAUCGACGGGAGGUUUGGCACCUCGAUGUCGGCUCAUCGCAACCUGGGGCGGAAGUACGUCCCAAGGGUUGGGCUGUUCGCCCAUUAAAGCGGUACGUGAGCUGGGUUCAGAACGUCGUGAGACAGUUCGGUCCAUAUCCGAUGUAGGCGUGAGAAUAUUGAGAGGAGCCUUCCUUAGUACGAGAGGACCGGGAAGGACGCACCGCUGGUGUACCUGUUAUGAUGCCAAUUGUAAACGCAGGGUAGCCAAGUGCGGAGAGGAUAACCGCUGAAAGCAUCUAAGUGGGAAGCCCACCUCAAGAUGAGUAUUCUGGUGUAAGGUCACGGGAAGACGACCCGUAAAUAGGCACGAGGUGGAAGUGCAGAGAUGUAUGAAGCCGAAGUGUACUAAUAGACCGUCGGCUUGACC
This 1325-nucleotide ribosomal RNA is filed under the name metagenome. RNAcentral describes it as "bacterial LSU rRNA". It matches the Rfam family "Bacterial large subunit ribosomal RNA", at positions 1561 to 2925 of the family's 2925-position model. The record is from RNAcentral.